AGGACCCUCCAUUGAGUCUGUUUUCCUUCUCUCCCGUCCAGAACCAGCCAUGUCCUGAAAUCUGUCCCCAAACCAGGGCCGCCUACCCAAGACUGCAGGGGCUGCAUCUCCACUGCCUACGACCUCCUCCUCCCGGGCCAUGCAUGUCACUGGAGACACAAGAGUCCGGGACAUGAAAACCCUGGAAACUAAACCGCCCUUCCUGAGUAAACCAUGACUACAGGCAUGAAGUUGAUUUUUUUUUGAUCCAUGUUUAACGGGCUUUGGCACAGAACAAGUGGACUUCGGAAAAAAAGCAUUCAUGCUAUUUUGAGCCUUCCUGCGUGGACCCCAGAGGCCAGCACUGUCCACAGACUGUGCCCCCACCCUGGCUCGCACCUGGCUCUGUGAACACAGACUGCAGAAUGGGAAAGGGCAGGAGACACCAAUCCCUGCCAAGACUUGAGCUGCCGUGCUUCUGCCUCAGGAAACAGGCGAGGCUGAGAGGAAGCCCCCGCAGGUGUCUGCAUGUGAGCAUCCCCGCCAACCAGGGAAAACAACAGUUCCAACAUGAGGCGCUGCCUGGCACUUGACCAGCUGCCUGGAAAGCCUGCUUAUAAAGCCUGCUAUAUAACCUCCCUGCUUCCAAACUCAGAAUGACCCUGGGCCAGUCUGGUACAGCUCCAGUUAGUUUGCCUAUUUAUACUUCUAAUAUUUUCAAAAGAAACCCAAAGCCUAAAUAAUUAAAGAAAGAGCAAAAUAAAAGAC
Molecule: long non-coding RNA, 747 nt
Filed under: Heterocephalus glaber (naked mole-rat)
Lineage: Eukaryota; Metazoa; Chordata; Mammalia; Rodentia; Bathyergidae
Description: lncRNA (ENSHGLG00000040903.1)
Source: RNAcentral